This 1278-nucleotide ribosomal RNA is filed under the name uncultured prokaryote. RNAcentral describes it as "partial 16S ribosomal RNA". It matches the Rfam family "Bacterial small subunit ribosomal RNA", at positions 43 to 1302 of the family's 1533-position model. The record is from RNAcentral.
CGUGGAUUAGGCAUGCAAGUCGUGCGAGAAGCCCUCUUCGGAGGGUGGACAGCGGCGAAAGGGAGAGUAACGCGUGGAUACCAACCCCCAGGACCGGGAUAGCUGCGGGAAACUGCAGGUAAUACCAAAUAAUGUCUUCGGACCAAAGGUGUGAUUCCGUCUGAGGACGAGCCCGCGUCCUAUUAGCUUGUUGGUGGGGUAAUGGCCUACCAAGGCUUAGAUGGGUACCGGGUGUGAGAGCAUGGCCCGGCUCACUGGGACUGAUACACUGCCCAGACACCUACGGGUGGCUGCAGUCGAGAAUCUUGGGCAAUGGACGCAAGUCCGACCGAGCGACGCCGCGUGCGGGAUGAAGGCCUUCGGGUUGUAAACCACUGUCAGUUGGGAGGAAAUGCUGUGGGGUCAUCCCCGCAGUUUGACCUAUCUUCAGAGGAAGUACGGGCUAAGUUCGUGCCAGCAGCCGCGGUAACACGAACCGUACGAACGUUAUUCGGAAUCACUGGGCUUAAAGAGUACGUAGGCGGCGUGGCAAGUUGGGUGUGAAAUCCCUCGGCUCAACCGAGGAACUGCGCUCAAAACUGCCGAGCUAGAGGGAGACAGAGGUGAGCGGAACUUAGGGUGGAGCGGUGAAAUGCGUUGAUAUCCUAAGGAACACCAGUAGCGAAAGCGGCUCACUGGGUCUCUUCUGACGCUGAAGGCACCGAAAAAGCUAAGGGGGAGCCGAACCGGCGAUUAAGAAUACCCCCGGUAGUCCUAGCCUGUAAACGUUGAGCACUUGGUCGGAGAGUCCUCCAUAGCUUUCCGGUCGCAGCGAAAGUGAUAAGUGCUCCGCCUGGGGAGUAUGGUCGCAAGGCUGAAACUCACAGGAAUUGACGGGGGCUUCACACAAGCGGGUGGAGGAUGUGGCUUUAAUUCGAGGCCUAACGCGUAGAACCUUAUCCUGGGGCUUGACAUGCACGGAGUUAACCCUCGUGAAAGGCGAGGGCGACGCCUUCGGGUGGAACGUGCACAGGUGCUGGCAUGGCUGUCGUCAGCUCGUGUCGUGAGAUGUCGGGUUAAGUCCCUUAACGAGCGAAACCCUUGUCACUAGUUGCCAGCGCGUCAUGGCGGGGACUCUAGUGAGACUGCCGGUGUUAAACCGGAGGAAGGUGGGGAUGACGUCAAGUCCUCAUGGCCUUUAUGGUCUGGGCUGCACACGUCCUACAAUGGCAUAUACAAAGGGAAGCUACCUCGCGAGAGCAAGCAAAUCCCAGAAAGCGCGCCCCAGUUCGGAUUGCA